Molecule: ribosomal RNA, 253 nt
Filed under: uncultured bacterium
Lineage: Bacteria
Description: partial 16S ribosomal RNA
Rfam family: Bacterial small subunit ribosomal RNA
Source: RNAcentral
UACGUAGGGGGCUAGCGUUGUCCGGAAUCAUUGGGCGUAAAGCGCGUGUAGGCGGUCCGGUAAGUCCGCUGUGAAAGUCGGGGGCUCAACCCUCGGAUGCCGGUGGAUACUGUCGGGCUUGAGUACGGAAGAGGCGAGUGGAAUUCCUGGUGUAGCGGUGGAAUGCGCAGAUAUCAGGAGGAACACCAAUAGCGAAGGCAGCUCGCUGGGACGGUACUGACGCUAAGGCGCGAAAGCGUGGGGAGCAAACAGG